Molecule: ribosomal RNA, 504 nt
Filed under: uncultured bacterium
Lineage: Bacteria
Description: bacterial SSU rRNA
Rfam family: Bacterial small subunit ribosomal RNA
Source: RNAcentral
UCAGAUUGAACGCUGGCGGCAGGCUUAAUACAUGCAAGUCGAACGGUAGCAGCAGGAAGGCUUGCCUUCUGGCUGACGAGUGGCGGACGGGUGAGUAAGUAACCUGGGAAACUGCCGUACAAGAGGGGGACAACACCUGGAAACGGGUGCUAAUACCGCAUAAGCCCUGAGGGGAAAAGGAUGGGAAACCAUGCGCUUGUAGAUGUGCCCAGGAGGGAUUAGCUAGUUGGGGAGGCAAAGGCUCACCAAGGCGACGAUCUCUAGCUGGUCUGAGAGGAUGAUCAGCCACAUUGGGACUGAGACACGGCCCAAACUCCUACGGGAGGCAGCAGUAGGGAAUAUUGCACAAUGGGGGAAACCCUGAUGCAGCCAUGCCGCGUGUGUGAAGAAGGCCUUCGGGUUGUAAAGCACUUUCAGCGGGGAGGAAGGCGCGAGCUCCAACAGGGCCUGGCGUCAGACGUUACCCGCAGAAGAAGCGCCGGCUAACUCCGUGCCAGCCGCCGC